UGGAGUGCUACCAGGCUGCCUUCAACAUCCCUGAAGGACGCUAUUUAAAGCCUGCUCUAACUCUGAAAGUAAUAAGAAUUUAUACUUGAGAAACUAAACUCACACUCUCGCUUACUGGAUGUCAUCCUUUUUGUUUUCCACCACUGGCACAGUGAGGAGGUUGCAAACAGACACGUUUCGAGUUGUACAAGGAAUGCCCCACAGGAUUCCAACACCGUGUUAAAGAUCUGCAGAGGGAGAUGAAGGAGGAGAGAAGAGAGGCUCGUGCUUAGGAAGAAAGACAGCUCCACCAAGCUUGCCAGGCUUCGGAGGCGCAGCAAACUGCUCAGCACCUCCAACGACUUUGUGCUGAGGUGGAAGGAAGCAGCUUGGAGAGCUACUGCUAAACAAGUGAAAAAAAAAAAAAGAAAGAAACCUCUGCCAAGAUGAAAGUGGGGAUAUUAAAGAUGAAAAUGCAUAUCCACCGAGGCCAGCAAACAUGCAUAAAAGGUGGACUAAGUACCCCAACAUCAAACUGAAGACUACUGGCUUUCCUCAGCCCCUCUGGCAGCAUUUCGGAGGCAAAGGAUGUGAUUUAAGGAGAGCACAAACCAGAAGAAAUCAGGAAUCAAAACCAAGAGAAGCCAAUAGCUCACAUGAGAGCCCAGAAGAGAAUUCAGUGCCUUCACCAAAGCUCUCGGGCAUCCCUCUAACAGUUUCAUCUGGAGCUGGAGGAUCCUGCAUUUCUUCUGUGAGGGGUGACUUGCUGGCCCACCUGAUGAUCUAGCUGAUCCUCAUUGGGAGAUCUCUUUCUUGGGACGCUCUUGAGCCUAGUGAUUUUACACUGAAGCAGAGAUCCAAAGCUAAGCACUGAGCCAAACUCCUGGAAUCCAGUUUCAGAG
Mesocricetus auratus (golden hamster) is the source of this 881-nucleotide long non-coding RNA. RefSeq lists it as uncharacterized. The record is from RefSeq and is a predicted model, not a curated record. Lineage: Eukaryota; Metazoa; Chordata; Mammalia; Rodentia; Cricetidae. The transcript is spliced from 5 exons.